This is a non-coding RNA of Mycena epipterygia, 96 nucleotides long. The record is from the annotation of a GenBank genome assembly. Lineage: Eukaryota; Fungi; Basidiomycota; Agaricomycetes; Agaricales; Mycenaceae.
GACCUAGUAGCACACGGUGUGCCCUGCAAUGUUUUAACAAAAACGUCCCCACCAUCUGUAAUGCAGAAACUCCUGGUUCGACUCCAGGCUGGGUCA